Molecule: ribosomal RNA, 481 nt
Filed under: Epipsocopsis sp. KY-2002
Lineage: Eukaryota; Metazoa; Arthropoda; Insecta; Psocodea; Epipsocidae
Description: partial 16S ribosomal RNA
Source: RNAcentral
GGCUUUAUGGAAAAUUAUAAAGUCCAAUCUGCUCACUGAAAUUUAAAGAGCCGCAGUAUUUUGACUGUGCAAAGGUAGCAUAAUCAAUAGUUUUUUAAUUGAAAACUUGUAUGAAAGAUUAGAUGAAAAUUUUUUUUUCUUUAUUCAAAAAGUUGAACUUAAAUUUUAAGUGAAAAUUCUUAAAUUUAUUUAAAAGACGAGAAGACCCUAUAGAUUUUAAUUAAUUUAAUUUUAAAAAAAUUAUUAGAUUAAUUUGAUUGGGGUGAUAUUGUAAUAAAAAUAACUUAAAAUUAAUAAAACCAAAAAUAAAUGAAUUAUUUGAUCUAAAAUUUUUACUUUGAAGAAUAAAUUACCUUAGGGAUAACAGCGUAAUUUCGUUUAAGAGUUCAUAUCUAUAAUGAAGAUUGCGACCUCGAUGUUGAAUUAAAAAAUAUACUGAAGUAGAUUGUAGUAUUAUUAGUCUGUUCGACUAUUUAAAUUU